RNAcentral lists this ribosomal RNA (425 nucleotides) under uncultured bacterium. Its description in RNAcentral is "partial 16S ribosomal RNA". It matches the Rfam family "Bacterial small subunit ribosomal RNA", at positions 354 to 796 of the family's 1533-position model. The record is from RNAcentral.
GUGGGGAAUCUUAGACAAUGGGCGCAAGCCUGAUCUAGCCAUGCCGCGUGAGCGAUGAAGGCCUUAGGGUUGUAAAGCUCUUUCGUGGGGGAAGAUAAUGACUGUACCCCAAGAAGAAGCCCCGGCUAACUUCGUGCCAGCAGCCGCGGUAAUACGAAGGGGGCUAGCGUUGUUCGGAAUUACUGGGCGUAAAGCGCACGUAGGCGGAUAUUUAAGUCAGGGGUGAAAUCCCAGAGCUCAACUCUGGAACUGCCUUUGAUACUGGGUAUCUCGAGUAUGGAAGAGGUGAGUGGAAUUCCGAGUGUAGAGGUGAAAUUCGUAGAUAUUCGGAGGAACACCAGUGGCGAAGGCGGCUCACUGGUCCAUUACUGACGCUGAGGUGCGAAAGCGUGGGGAGCAAACAGGAUUAGAUACCCGUGUAGUCC